UGAUGAACUCAAAAUGUUUUAAAGCAGGA
RNAcentral lists this non-coding RNA (29 nucleotides) under Rattus norvegicus (Norway rat). The record is from RNAcentral. Lineage: Eukaryota; Metazoa; Chordata; Mammalia; Rodentia; Muridae.